Molecule: ribosomal RNA, 253 nt
Filed under: uncultured bacterium
Lineage: Bacteria
Description: partial 16S ribosomal RNA
Rfam family: Bacterial small subunit ribosomal RNA
Source: RNAcentral
UACGAAGGGGGCUAGCGUUGCUCGGAAUCACUGGGCGUAAAGGGUGCGUAGGCGGGUCUUUAAGUCAGGGGGGAAAUCCUGGAGCUCAACUCCAGAACUGCCUUUGAUACUGAGGAUCUCGAGUUCGGGAGAGGUGAGUGGAACUGCGAGUGUAGAGGUGAAAUUCGUAGAUAUUCGCAAGAACACCAGUGGCGAAGGCGGCUCACUGGCCCGAUACUGACGCUGAGGUGCGAAAGCGUGGGGAGCAAACAGG